CCUACGGGGUGCAGCAGUGAGGAAUAUUGGUCAAUGGACGAGAGUCUGAACCAGCCAAGUAGCGUGAAGGAUGACUGCCCUAUGGGUUGUAAACUUCUUUUAUAUGGGAAUAAAAUGUUCCACGUGUGGGAUUUUGUAUGUACCAUAUGAAUAAGGAUCGGCUAACUCCGUGCCAGCAGCCGCGGUAAUACGGAGGAUCCGAGCGUUAUCCAGAUUUAUUGGGUUUAAAGGGAGCGUAGGUGGAUUGUUAAGUCAGUUGUGAAAGUUUGCGGCUCAACCGUAAAAUUGCAGUUGAAACUGGCAGUCUUGAGUACAGUAGAGGUGGGCGGAAUUCGUGGUGUAGCGGUGAAAUGCUUAGAUAUCACGAAGAACUCCGAUUGCGAAGGCAGUUCACUGGACUGCAACUGACACUGAGGCUCGAAAGUGUGGGUAUCAAACAGGAUUAGAUACCCCUGUAGUC
Molecule: ribosomal RNA, 460 nt
Filed under: uncultured bacterium
Lineage: Bacteria
Description: partial 16S ribosomal RNA
Rfam family: Bacterial small subunit ribosomal RNA
Source: RNAcentral